GUUCCAGCAGCCGCGGUAAUACGAAGGUUGCAAGCGUUGUUCGGAAUCACUGGGCUUAAAGCGCAUGUAGGCGGACAGGAAAGCGUUUUGUGAAAUCCCUCGGCUUAACCGAGGAAUUGCUUGGCGAACUUCCUGUCUUGAGGCAAGUAGGGGUGCAUGGAACUCUUGGUGGAGCGGUGGAAUGCGUAGAUAUCAAGAGGAACGCCAAUGGUGAAAACAGUGCACUGGGCUUGUACUGACGCUGAGAUGCGAAAGCGUGGGGAGCAAACGGGAUUAGAAACCCUAGUAGUCC
This 292-nucleotide ribosomal RNA is filed under the name uncultured bacterium. RNAcentral's name for it is "partial 16S ribosomal RNA". It matches the Rfam family "Bacterial small subunit ribosomal RNA", at positions 505 to 796 of the family's 1533-position model. The record is from RNAcentral.